Gopherus flavomarginatus (Mexican gopher tortoise) is the source of this 3616-nucleotide long non-coding RNA. RefSeq lists it as uncharacterized. The transcript has 5 exons. NCBI's taxonomy places the organism in Eukaryota, Metazoa, Chordata, Testudines, Testudinidae. The record is from RefSeq and is a predicted model, not a curated record.
ACAGGUGGGAGUUAAAGGGCAGUCCAGAGCCCUUUAAAUCCCUGCCGUGGAAGCCGGUGUGGUCUGGCGCGGUGUACUGGCUCUUGCCAGUACGCUGUACUGGACUGUACCAGCUUACUUUCACCUUUGGACAUGUUUCUGCAUACAAACAGAGCUGACCAUUUAAGCAGACCCCCACUGAAAUAGCAGGAGUAACUCUAUUGGCGUCAAUAGAGAUUGACUUAGAUGUGAUUAUCCACCUUUGUUUCCAUCUGGGUUAAAGGUAUUAAUGAUCAGGUUUGAUGGAUGUACACCCACAGUAAGGGAGGCAGGUGGGUGGGGAUGGUGAGUGCUGAUUUAUAUUAAAUGAACUAAACCAGGAGUUUGUCGACGCUGUUGGACAGUUAAAAAAAACCUCAGGAGUUUGUUGAACACUAUGGGCCAGUCUUUCUAGCAAUCCACAAUCAUUAAAAGUUUAAAAUAAUAUAUUUACAAAUUAAACAAGAGUCUAACACAAAACUGAAAUGUUCCAAGGGUUCACAACCCUCCACCAUACUUUUAUAUAAUAAGCAUUUGCUGUAAGAAACAUCAAUCAUUUAAAAGCUCUGGGUAUUUGUAGUGUGGUCAUGCUACAUCCAUUUUAUUUCAGAACAAACCAAAACUUUAAGCAUGAAAGAAACAUGUUUAAAAUAAAUCACAAACUCCUUAAGACAUUCAUUGACAGCUGCAAGGUUCCCUGCUCAGGAGACUCAUAGAAUAUCAGGAUUGGUAGGGAUCUCAGGAGGUCAUCUAAUCCAACACCCUGCUCAAAGCAGGACCAAUCCCUAGAUAGAUUUUUGCCCCAAGCGGCCCCUUCUCAAGGAUUGAGCUCAUAACCCUGGAUUUAGUGGGCCAAUUCUCAAACCACUGAGCUAUCCCUCCUCCCUGAGAAGAGAGAGACAGUAGUAUUAAGAAUAUCUGUGUGUGUUGAUUUUACUGUUUAAUAUUAUAAUAAAAUGCUACAGUGCCCUUGUUUUUUCAUUGAAAAAGGAAAAUUUAUUUUAAUGAAGUUUUAGUCAAAAGCAUCCCAGUUGUGCAGAGAAUUUAAUUUUCACCUCAGACCACAAAAAGGAAUGUUUGGGGCGGGGUGCCUAAAUUCCUUAAGUAUCUAUUAAUUAAGACUUUUAGUGAUCAAAUCAACUUGCUAAUUACAGACAUUGAAGUUUGUUUGAAACAAAGAGGUAGGAUGAUAUAACCCCCCUCCUUUUGGUGGCGGGAGGGAAGACUGUCCUCUUAUAACAGAAACUAUCUUGAACAAAAUAGCUGCUGCUGGACUGCAAGAUGAGGUAUGUUGCUUGUUUUUAACUCUGAAAAUAUAUCUUAUAAAACGUUACUCUUUGUCCAUGCUGUCCUUACUAAUACUGAUACCUGUCCUUAUUGCAGUGUGAUCUGUUUAGCAUGGAAAUAGCAACCUCAAGCUGUAUUUCACCAGGGCAAGUCCCAAAUACACAUGGGGCAAAAACAGAAUAACCAUGUGCAGCACCCCUUUACUCUAUGAUGGAAGUAUGGUCAAAGCAUGAGAGAUCGUUAGACCAAAGGGUAAACAAGAUCAAAAGAAAGAGACAGCUGAAAAGGAAAAUUCACCAGCAUCAAGAGCUGACAGAUGGAAGAAGCCAGCCUGGGCAACUCACUUGAUGAUGCCGUAGUUAGAGCUACAGGGACAUCUCCAGCGGAACCACCAAAGAACCAGGAAUCUGCUCUGAGACCUUUAACAAUGAAGAGUGCAGACUUAGCAUCCAAAGCUCAGAUAUGUCAAACCCAAGGACAGAACAAAAGUCUCUGCUGUUUCACCGGUUAUCAUGAAAAAGCACAGAAUCCUAGGAUGGGGACAACUUUCAGGUUUCUUUAUUACAAGAUGCAACUCAAGACCAACUGUCUGAAAAGACUAGGGUAUGUAGUCAGGACCCUCUGAGAGCAUGAGUGGGAGACAACAGUAAAAACAGACAAGGAGCUUGCAGAUUUCUUAAACAAAGCACAGUUGCCUCAGUCUUGGUGCCUAGUGAUGCUCUUUUUGCUGGGAGGACUAACAUUAUCCACCUAUAUUACAAACCUAAGCCCAGUGAAGAAAUCCACUAUUACGAUUUUACCAGCCUGUACCCUUUCGUAAACAAAAAUCAAGGAAUACCCAAUCGGACACCCCAAUACAGUUCAUGACAAAUUUGGACCCCUCACAAAUUAUUUUGGAAUUGCGAAAGUUAAAGUGUAUCCCAUGAGGCCUCUUUCCCCAAUGUUAUCUGUCAGAGCGGGUGGCAAACUUAUGUUCCCGCUCUGCCAAACUUCUGCCGAAACCGAGCAGCAGGAGAUGUGCGCCCAUACUGAUGAGGAGAGAGUCAUCCUGGGGACUUGGUGCACAGUGGAAUUGAACAUGGCUGUAGCAAAGGCGUAUGCGAUGGCAAAAAUCUACAAAAUCUGGAAUUUUGAAGAAAAGUUUGACAAACUCUUUUCAGAGUACAUAAAAUUACACCUCCAUCAGAAACAAGAGGCUUCAGAGUAUACCAGCUGAUGCACGGAUGAAGAAAAACAAAAUAAAGUAUGUUAAUGAUUUCUACUGGAAAGAAGGUGUGCAUUUACGCCAACGUGAGAUCACGGUGAACCCUGCUAAGCACCAAAUCGCUAAACUGUUUUUAAAUGCUCUCUGGGGUAAAUUCGGCCAAAGAACAAAGCUACCCAAUACUAGCAUUGAGAGACACUGAUGAACUCUUUCAGUCCCUGUUUUUCCCCCCCAAUUACGAGGUUUCAUCCUGCAGGUUUGUCAAUGAUGAAACAGCGUGCGUGUGUUGGAAGCAAGCGAAAGACCGGUACUCUGUUUCUGGCAAUACCAAUGUCUUCGUAGCCUGUUUCAUCACCGCUUACUUAGAACUAUACAACCUGCUAGACAGGCUGCAAGAGUGGUGCCUGGACCAUGACACUAACUCAGUGAUAUUCAAGAAGAGGGAGGGUGACUGAAACCCCUCUCGGGGGGAUUAUUUAGGGGACCUCAAAUGCGAGAUCCCGCCAGAUCAACACCUCACCGAGUUUGCAUCAGACGGUUCAAAAAUGUACUGGUACAAGCUAUCGGGAGGAAAAGCCUAUAUGAAAGUCAAAGGGAUUAGCCUGAACAUAGCAAACUGGGAAAAGAUUAACUUUGACAGUUUGAAAGAUCCAGUCCUGGACUAUAGAACAGACCUGAGAGAGAACACCCCAAAAACAAUAGAGGUGCAAACAUAAGGACCAGACAUCAGCGGCAAAUAGAGACAAAGACCCUUAAGAAAACACAAAGUUGUUUACAAAAGAGGGGCCUUUAAAGAAGCCCUAUGGCUUUUGAAAAUGGAUACAUAGUGGAAAUACCUCUUUUCUGUAAUUCUCAAAGGGCCUAGAAACUGUGGAAAAAAGUUACUUUAAAAGAAAUGUGUUGUCAGUUAUGCCCGAGAACAUUAUGUGCUGUUACAGUUGCUGGCAACCUCUGUAUAAAAGCUGCUUGGUAAAUAUCCCUUUAUUAAUUUUGGAGGGGGGCUGCCCUGAAGAUUUUGACGAUGACUGGCUAUUUCCUACCCAUACAAAUAAAUGUGAUUAUUGUAGACGUUCUGAUGAACUCUGCUUGUGAAAGCAAUAAAAUUGA